Molecule: ribosomal RNA, 360 nt
Filed under: uncultured bacterium
Lineage: Bacteria
Description: partial 16S ribosomal RNA
Rfam family: Bacterial small subunit ribosomal RNA
Source: RNAcentral
AUUGAACGCUGGCGGCAUGCUUUAUACAUGCAAGUCGUGCGGCAGCGCGGGGGCAACUCUGGCGGCGAGCGGCGAACGGGUGAGUAAUACAUAGGAACGUAUCCUGAAAUGGGGGAUAGCUCGGCGAAAGCCGGAUUAAUACCGCAUACGCUCCACGGAGGAAAGCAGGGGAUCGCAAGACCUUGCGUUUCUGGAGCGGCCUAUGUCUGAUUAGCUAGNGGUCGGGGUAAUAGCCCACCAAGGCGACGAUCAGUAGCUGGUCUGAGAGGAUGAUCAGCCACACUGGGACUGAGACACGGCCCAGACUCCUACGGGAGGCAGCAGUAGGGAAUUUUGGACAAUGGGGGCAACCCUGAUCCA